AUCCGGAGGAAAAGGGAGUUUCGGGCUGAUGCUCGGGCCGUCAUUUCCCUGAUGGAGAUGGGGUUCGACGAGAAGGAGGUGAUAGACGCCCUCAGAGUGAACAACAACCAGCAGAAUGCCGCGUGUGAGUGGCUGCUGGGGGACCGGAAGCCCUCUCCGGAGGAGCUGGACAAGGGCAUCGACCCCGACAGUCCUCUCUUUCAGGCCAUCCUGGAUAACCCGGUGGUGCAACUGGGCCUGACCAACCCGAAAACAUUGCUAGCAUUUGAAGACAUGCUGGAGAACCCGCUGAACAGCACCCAGUGGAUGAAUGAUCCAGAAACAGGGCCUGUCAUGCUGCAGAUCUCUAGAAUCUUCCAGACACUAAAUCGCACGUAGGUGGCGCCGUUCCACUCAGCUGUCAGGCCACAGCAGCCCCCUGGUGCAGCCCGAGACCAGGCAGAGUGGACCUCACCUGGAAACUCACCUUCAGCGCCUCAGCCCUGGACUGUUAGAGGUGCCACAGCUGCUCCCGCUCUCUGAUCUUAUUGCUUAUAAACUUCGGUGACGGUAGUGUGUAAGGCCAUAUUUUUAGCAUCUGACAGGUGUUUACAAAAAAGUGGUUGUCGCACUGGAAAGUGGAGUGAUGGCCUCCUCUCCAGUGCUCCUCUGGGCUCUUGAGUUGCUGCUUGAAUUGCCCCGUAGACAUUUGCUUGGAGAGUCCACUUGUUAUUUGACGGAGAUAGGUUUCAACCCA
RNAcentral lists this small RNA (736 nucleotides) under Pongo abelii (Sumatran orangutan). Its description in RNAcentral is "processed transcript". Lineage: Eukaryota; Metazoa; Chordata; Mammalia; Primates; Hominidae. The record is from RNAcentral.